CCUACGGGGGGCAGCAGUGGGGAAUAUUGGUCAAUGGGCGCAAGCCUGACCCAGCAACGCCGCGUGAAGGACGAAGGUGCCAAGCAUUGUAAACUUCUUUUGUCAAGGGACAAAAUCAGGCUCGAGAGCCUGACCGAGGGUACUUGAAGAAAAAGCAUCGGCUAACUCCGUGCCAGCAGCCGCGGUAAUACGGAGGAUGCGAGCGUUAUCCGGAUUUAUUGGGUUUAAAGGGUGCGUAGGCGGACUGUUAAGUCAGCGGUAAAAUCCCGGGGCUCAACCCCGGCGAGCCGUUGAAACUGGCUGUCUUGAGAUGUCGAGAGGUAUGCGGAAUGCGCAGUGUAGCGGUGAAAUGCUUAGAUAUUGCGCAGAACUCCGAUUGCGAAGGCAGCAUACCGGCGGCGAUCUGACGCUGAGGCACGAAAGCGUGGGUAUCGAACAGGAUUAGAUACCCUUGUAGUC
This 459-nucleotide ribosomal RNA is filed under the name uncultured bacterium. RNAcentral's name for it is "partial 16S ribosomal RNA". It matches the Rfam family "Bacterial small subunit ribosomal RNA", at positions 338 to 795 of the family's 1533-position model. The record is from RNAcentral.